CUGUUCCCAUGCCGAACACAGAAGUUAAGCUCUUUAGCGCCGAUGGUAGUCGGACUUACGUUCCGCGAGAGUAGGACGUUGCCAGGC
This 87-nucleotide ribosomal RNA is filed under the name Staphylococcus succinus. Lineage: Bacteria; Bacillati; Bacillota; Bacilli; Caryophanales; Staphylococcaceae. The record is from RNAcentral.